Cottoperca gobio is the source of this 11569-nucleotide RNA transcript. It is a transcript of the gene named potassium voltage-gated channel subfamily C member 1-like, with no coding region annotated. NCBI's taxonomy places the organism in Eukaryota, Metazoa, Chordata, Actinopteri, Perciformes, Bovichtidae. The transcript is spliced from 2 exons. The record is from RefSeq and is a predicted model, not a curated record.
UAAUGCUAAGACAUGAAAAAAAAAUCCAGCUUCUUCCAUCAUUGUCUCAACUCCUCUUCUGCAAGAGAGAGGAGAGACCAUUCUUCUCCCAAGAUACCCCCUCGCCAAAAUGUCCCCGUCCAUCGUCCCAUUCGUCGGCUUCCUCAUUAUCUGUCUGUGACUUCAUCCUGUCACGUUUCAUUUCUUUCUGUCCUGUUCUAUACUCUACACUUUAAACUACAGUCAGUUCAACAGAAGGAUACCUCUGCAAUGUGAGAAUGCAUUGAUUCAUAACAAGCUCCUAAAAAGGAUGAGGACCAGUGCCAGAUGAUCCUGCCAGGGGGCCACACCCCCCGAUCUCUAUACUAGGUUGAUUCAAACUACUAAACAAAUACUCACUCUGUAGACAUAGUGCAGUGUUGGCCUGAAUAUAACACUACCCUGAUUAUAAGACAACUCCGUUUGCUAACACCAUUUGUUGGACUAUAGUCCUGUUGGGAAAGUUUUCCUUAGUCACAGUUAGUCCAAGGAUAAGAGACUCCUGAUCCCUCUCUCUUUCAAACCUUAAAUACUUCCAUCAAAGCAGAAUAUAAGUUGUGUGGCUUGUGUGACAUCAUCAGGACAGCCAGUGACAUCGGUAAGUCUUGGCUGCUCGACACAUGAUUUGGUCUUUGUCACCUGUCAGGCAUGUAUUCUCUCUGUGGCAGUAAAACAUGUAGCUCCAAAAGACACACUAUAAAUGGAAUUGAAGAACCUCACUAGCUUAGCAACAAUAAGGCUACAAACAAGCCAUAAGGCCCUUAUCGCUCCCCUUUAUGUUGUGUUCAGACCACUAUCUCUAGAAGUGCGAUCAGGAAGUAGCAACACCUUUUUGUAGCAAGGUGACAAGUAAGGGUGUGGAGGUCGGGGUGGCGGGUGGACAUGUAACGCGUCGGACCUUCAAGCAGGAAUCUAGAGCCUGUGUCCCGUCACAGACAAGCAAUUAAUGUUAAUUUUUUAGUUUUUAACCACAAUCUUUACCUAGCCUUAACCAAGUGUUUUAGUGGCCUAACCCAUAGCUUGGCCGUAAUUUGCCAUAACGAUGAUCUUUUCCUGACCUUAAAUAUAACGAAGUUGUAGUCGCAUCAGUAGAUAUUAUAAAAAAACAAAAAAAAACUGCCAUUGGAUGUAAAAAAAAAGGUUUUCACUGAGGAUAUCCAAGGUUUUGCAGGAUAUUUGUUCUUGUCUUGUGAUAGGAAUUGAUGUGCUUUAGUGUUGCAUGUUACCAAACAAAUUUGCUAUUUUAUUUUAUUUUUUGCUCCAAAAGAUCUUUGAAGAAGGUGUAUUGGCUACCCAGUGACAAACCACACUGCAGAGGCACCCUUACAAAUUAAUUUUUUUAUUUAAAUGAUUCUGCUUCUGCACCCUGUUGCCAAUGUUUCUCUCCUUUCCAUUCAUUCACAACUCAGGUAACUCUUUCUCAAUCUCUCCCUCUGAGCCCCUGUGUUCCUGUUCAGCCAUGUGUCCUCAAAGAAGUACUGUAUGUAUGAAAAAGGGAGAGAUAAGAAGUCGAGUUUUCCUCUCUUUUCUGUCCCUGUUUAUGCCAUGUGCUCUGUUUUGCCCGCCUCCUUCAAAAAUGUUAUUUUGCUUUCCUUGUCCAACUGUGCUUCCUGUCUUCUCCUUGUUUCGACUCUCGUCUUUCGACACUCUCUCAAUAACUGUGUCCGUCUUUCUGUGAGACUUUAUCCCCCCCAAUUCACCAUCCAUCCCCCCACCCUUAGUCUCUCACAGCAAAAACCAAAAAGGAAUUGAGCAAAAUUGGAGCACCUCUGCACCUAAAAAAAAAAAAGAAAUGUUUUGUGAAACACUGGACGUCACCAAGGAGGAAGACAGGAAUGGACAUUUAAAUGAAUGAAAAAGACUGCAAUGAUGUAUUGUAGAUUGGGAGGAGGGGAGAAAUGUGCAAUGAAAUAAUGUGUUCUGAGUGGAUUGUCAGCCGAGCAGCAUCAGAGGGAAGAGAUGGAGGAGGAAAAGUUUGGGGAAGACAGAAAGGUGUGGUGAUGAUGAGGAGGAAAGAAAGAAGCAAAAUCGCUUCCCAUUGCUGAGUUUCUAACUCCCUUUCUCCACAAGAAGAGGAAAACAAUAAACUUUGAAACCGCUGCUCCUCCAUCUCCCCCAAUAGGAUUCACUGUAGAAAACGGGAAGGAGAUAGAGAGAAAGAGAAAAAAAAAAGAUGUGUGGUAGGAAUCAUCACUGACACUCUGACCAGAACGUUUUCAUCAUCUGUGUGACACAUUCAUAUGCAACCUCGCUGACGAUUCCAAUGAAGAAAAUGGUCACAAUCACAUAUAAGCUAUUGUAAGAUGGGAGAAAACAUUCCCAGCUCUUUUGAAUAGAUUUUCAGAGCAAACCACAGCAUGGAUGCUCCCAGCGUAGCGGCCAGAGGGCCUAUGACAGACUUGGAUUUGGAAACCAUGCAACAAAGAUGCCCUCUAUUGUAGUUGUGUUGUUGCUUUACUCUUUUUAUUUCAAGAAGCUUUAUUCACAACUGUUAAUUUCCAGUGGAUGUUCCAUUAUUUUGGCACUCAAAGCACUAUGCAAAGUGAAGGGUGGUCCAUCGUGAUGUCUAACAGCUCAGGCAGAGUCUGAUCCACUGCUGGCGCUGGGCUCUACGGGCCGGGCUGCCCUGCUGAUCUCUGCUGAGCUACAGGACCUCUAACAGCAGGCUAAAAUGUACUCAUACAUAUCAGAAAACAUCAGCCAUAUCACAUGUAUAUUUGACAUGAUCCUGAUCCUGUAUUUGAUAUCAUCUGAAUCUCCAGGAGACAGUUGACAUCUUGCGUUUAAAUACUGAGAUCUCAGCAAAUGUCAAAGAGCCAGUUUUCACCUUGUGAUGGAAUUAACCCAAAGACAGACACAUGGAUGAACGUACCAGUUGGGGUGAACAGAAGCCCUCGAAGACAAGAAACUGGCCGUUACAUCUACUAAAGAAAAAGGAGUUGUCACUGAAAACGAAGAUAUGAUCGACCCUCUUUCUCACUCUCUCUUUCCCUCUCGAGUGUUUACGGUAUCUUGAACACCCCCUUCCCUGCAUCUCAGCAUCGCUGCUGCUCUUCCUCUUUAGCAAAAUGCAUGGCAUGAAUGAAACCAAUUAAAACCCGAAGAAAGACAGUCAAAGACACAAUGGAUGGAUAUAAAAAAAGGAGGGAGAGAGAACCGAAGGAGUCCAUGAGAGAGAACAUAGAUUUGUUUUUCACGUAGCAAUGUCAAUGCAAAGUCAUCAUCAUCCAAGCUACUUUUUAACCCCCAAACUGGCUGCUAAUAUGUGCAAAACAGCAUCUCCUGCAGCUAACUGCUCUCUCAGAAGGCAUGAUGGAUGAGGAGGAGCUCCCUCCCCCUCUGAGGGAAAGAGGGAGGGGGGAAGGAGAUUCUGCAGACCAUACACUCUAUACCUCUGGGGAUGUGGGGCAAGAAGAUAGAGGCUUUUUAAAGAAAGCAGGUAUUCAGCAGCAGCGGGAGAACAUCUUUGAGAAACUAUUCUAGGGACAAAAAAAUGGCAACGAUUGCAAAUAAAAAAUGCAUUUUUAUGACAUUGUUUACCAGCAUGAAUAUUCUGCAUGACUUCUGCAAGCCAUUCUGAUCCCACCAUGAAUAACAGGGCUCAAAAUUGAGAAUUUAAACAUGAAAAUUUAACAUAAAUUAUGUCAUAUGAAACUUUUUUUUUUUAUGUAGGAUUAUGUUAAAAAAAAAGAUUUUCCUAAUUUUCUUUUUAAUGAUAAAACUCAAAUAAUUAAGAAAAAAGGGUUGCAACGUCCAACCUGUUUUGUUUUCUCUAAGAAAUCUUAGGAGCCCCCCACCCCACCUCUUUAAAAUCCAAGAAGACUCCUCCAAACUUCUGCAAGUAUUUAUUCUGCUACUACAAGUUUGUCUACUACUACUUCAACUUCUCACCUGACUGCUACUCUGCUUCUUCUUCUUCCUCCUCUUCUUCUUCUCUUUCUUCUUCCUCUUGUAGCCUUUUACCAGAACCCUUAUACGUAUCUCUCUCCAAUGGCAGCUGUGUGUUUGUGUCACAAUGUGGACCCAGGAUUAUCAAACUGAUGUUGAACUGAACUCUGCUGUCCACUCAGAGAUGUCAUUGAUUCUGUGUAUUUCAAUUGAAAAUGUAUGUUGUCCCAUUCUUUGGAACUUUUUCUUGACCUUGAUAUCCAAGGCACCACUAUACUUUCAAGGUUAGAAAUGUUAUCUGCAGUCUGGGGUUAGAUACAGGUGUGUAACCCACACAAUGAUCCAGGCAGGUCUGAAAAUGUACAAGAUGGCUGCCUCUUCAUCCAGCAAUAGCUUUUUGUAAUUUCCUUUAAGAAUCCAUUUAGUUUUAUCAGUUUGGGUUAGGGUUAAAAAAAAAAAAAAUCCUAUUGUAUGGGAUCAGGAUUAGCGUUACAGGUUAGAAUUAAUUCAUUAUGUACAGUAUGGGGUUAGGGUUGAAAUUGUAAAUGUAUUUUGUAUGUACCACUGAAGUAUGAACAAACACAAUGCCGUAGCCAGGAAAAUCCCCUCAGCUCAACCAUACCCACCCAAGGAAAUUUGGUGGCCACCCAAAGUCUGUGAGAUUUUCAAGCAUUCUAAAAAAAAGAGACAAAUCCCACAUUUUAUGUAUUAAUUUACCUUUCAAUUAUAUUAAAUGUAAUGUUUUCUCCAUACAUUAUGGUCUGAUGUCAGGAAUAAAAAGUUAUUAUUUUUUUUUUUAAUCAACAAGAAAACAAAGAAUCCCGCACAAAAUUCAUACAGAAAAAAUGUUUAUCUGCAUGAAUUUUGCCUGAUGAAGGUCUGAGAACCAAAAGGUCAUGUUAAUAAAGUGAGGUGGACAGUGUGCGGAAUUAUUUGGUUUUCCUUUCAAGUAAAGAGUUUUGGAUCCUACGCACUUGUCACUAAGAGUAUAUGGUGUGCACAAACCUUUUAAAAAAUUGCGGCCUAAAAACAAUCAAAUUUAGUCAAAAAACGUCAGAAUCAGCCUUAAAAAACAACAACUGUAGACUGCAAACAAUUUUUUUGUCAAAUACAAAUUACGUGACCUCAAUGGCCAUGGACCUGACCAAACACAAGGAAAGACAAUAUGUGGUUCAGGAUAUUUGAGGGCCUCAUGGAAAUAUCUCACCUCAAAACAAAACAAAAAAAAGAGGAUGUCAUCUGCAAAUGUUUGCUCCAGUAGCUUUUUGAUGGUGUAGCUUUACCAAAUCUGCCCUUUGAAUCACACAAUUCCAUAAGGAAUCAACAUGAUUUAUUAACCCUACUUGAAUUAGCUGGAAUGUAGCCUCAAUAUUGCUUAGUUAAAGCUCCCAUAUUGUUUCCCAAGAGUUGCUUGUGAAUAUAGCCUUAUUCAAAGUGUAUUUAUUUACUGAAUGAACUUAAUAACACUACUGAAAUAAAAUGUUAUUGAUGAGCUCAACAACACAAUGUGCGUCAAAAAUCACACCAUAUCUUAUUAGUGUCAAAACUUGGUCAAAUUGGAACACAUCAUAAACAUGCUGCUGAAGUAAAUGCAACUAGUACUUCCAGUGAUAGUGGUAUCUAUGAUGUCCUUUGUGGAAAAACUUCCAUAAAAGCGCUUAAAAAUCUGAUCCUCUCAACAGAGCAUGUAUAGUCCUGUUAACAUGACAAUUGGUGACAUCAUUUAGUAGCCUAACUUUAAGCCCAGCUAAAACAUGUAGUAGUAUACACCUGUAAAUGAAGGGAGUGAAAACUGAGCAGAGACAACCCAAGGUUCAGCUGCUAGAGUCGAUGCUUUCCAGUUUAUUAUUCUUGAAAGUGACCCAAUUUUAAAGACUUUAGUAAUUGGUUGGUUAGAAAAUAUGCAAUAAUUCCAAACAAAGUCUCAUUUAAACACUGUGGUUAUGUAUCACAAAAUAGGUUGGGUCUGUCAUCUGCUAAUGCAAAGUGGUGAGACAAUUUAGGAGCAGAAGAGACAGCUCAUGUACAGCUCAUUUGUCAAACCAGUUAAUAGAUGGACAACAGCUCCUGGUGGUCCCCCGAGGGUGAGAGGCAGCCAUCUUGGCUCAAUGUGUUCAAACAGGGUUGGCCGAGUACACAUACCACCAGAAACAGUGGAAGCAAGGAUGUUCUGCUGGGCUGUGGGGAAACUAUUUUUUCACAAAAGAUUUAGAUUUUUUUUGAAGAGAGAAAUGCACAGAAAAAUAGAAAGUCCUCCUGGACAGAUGUGUAUCUCAAAAAAAGCUGUAGUUUGUUCUGGUACUUCUCAUUAUUUGUCUUCUCAUGUCUUUAUUAUGCAUCUUAUGUGAGGAUUAAUAUUCAUUUUUGAUGCUGCUUAAUUUAUUUCAAUUGCUCUGUAUUAAUUGGUAUUUGGUUUAUUAGGGCCAUGUGGGGCCACACUUUGGUAAAGUUGUUUGAAACUUGUAGGUAUGAAUGGAUUACCGAACGGGCAUAGGGGCUCCCGAGCCAAGAAUCUCUGUUUGAAGAGGCUGAUACCGUCUCUUCUUGGUAAUUUAAUCAUAGACUACAAACAGACACAAGACAACCACUGAGACUCAAAAUGACAACAAGAAGACACCACAAAUACAAACACACAGAGAGUGGAAGUUUGGGGGGCGUUUUACAUGUGUGUGCUCAGGAGCCCGUUGUCUCAUAAGCCAUCCAUGUGUGUAGGUCUUUCAUUGUGUGGCUACAACAAACAUAAAACUUAAAUAUUUCCAUUUAUGGCUUGUAACCUAUUAAAAUAAUUAUCUAAUGCUAACAAAUGAAAGAAAACAAACAUUGAGGAAAUGUGUCCAGCUAAUUGCAGACAAAUCUGCACUCUCCUGUUGUCACUGCUUUUGCUUCAUAAGCCAGAGAAGUUCAUCAGCUGUACUUCGCACUUUUCAAUAAGGGCUAUCAAGCUAAACAAAAGUCUACCCUUGGGAUUUCUGUUCUGGACCCUCACAAAAUGUGGUCAUAUGUACCGUGACGUGUUUAACCAUCGUCACAUUGCUGGGCUGCUAGGGGACAAAAUCUUCUUUAAGAUGGAAUUGAAGACCGGCAUUCUUUGUAUUGAUAUGAAUUCUGACACUGUAACCCAUCUCAAUUUUUAUUUUAGCAAUUUAUGCAAGAUUUGCCUGGUGUGCUACUAUACUUAGUUUAUCUAAGAUACAUAUGGGUUUAUAUGUGCAGUAAAACCUUUCUUUAACUUUGAAUAUCUUCACCUUGUUAUUGAGCACAUUAGAAAAAGUCCUGCGCACUUCAUGAAUUGCAGAUCUGGACAGUCCUAGGAACUCCCAGACUUCUUAAGUUAAGGUAACUUAACUUAAGGUAACUGUGGGAAUGAUCUGAGAACGGAUUCAGCCAAGAUCUGGUUGCUCACUGGAAAGACUCAAUGGUUUUAGCUCAGCUCGGUUUUAUUUCUCUAUAUUUCAGUCAAGCUUCAGUCGAGUAUUUAUUAUUUAAUUGUGUCUAGCAUCAUGCAGUGUAAGAACAUUUGACAUAACAUAUUUUGAGGAUUAAUAAACAUUAUAAAUUGUAGCAUUUACAGUAUAUGCAGCCUCGCGGAUUUAUUCAGAUAACUUCAAGGGCUCUGGCUGAAAAAGACUUAACCCCCAGCUGGUUACAUAUCAAGUUCGGUAUCAAGAAGGUUAAUAUUUGGUAUCAAUACUCUUUUCAGGCAUACACACUUUUGUCUGUAUCAUUCUGGGGGACAAAUAACAGAAAUCAAAUCAAAAACAGGGCCUAUCUCAGGGAUACGCUGUAUCAAAGAUCUGAGAGGUGGAAUAUUGAGAUGUUAUGAUGCUGCAGUAUGUAUUUUCAGGAAAGUUUUAAGUUUCACAUAAUAGUUUCGAGGGAACAUUAUGAUAAUUUCAAUGAAUGCAGACUGCACUACUUGAAGCCUGGAAGUAGAUUGUUCUGUCCUUUCAGUCUAAACUGUGUCCUCUUGUCCUUCCACACUGCACUAGGUGUCAUUGCUUCCAGGGUGUUCUUAUGUAUGUGGUAUUUACUGUAUGUGACAGGAAUUGGUUCUGAUAUUUUAUAUCACUUGUCUUCCUAAAGGUAUAAAGUACAGCCUCAGAAAUGUCAAAGAAAAAUAGCCUAUCAUGUACUGUACCUGUGGCUAUACCAAGGUGAACGCAACUUCUCUCAGUGUUGUUCAUUUUGUUGGUUCAUGUCAGCAUUUUCUUUUGUUGCUAAAACUGUAGUUUUUGGUUUAUAUGUCAUAUAUUUUGUAUUUUGUAACACAUGCAAUUAUGAUGAAUUAUGAUCAUGAGGAUUAUAUCAAUGGAUUGAUACAUGCUUUUAUUAUUUAUUAUGUAUUUAAGCAUGCAGUGAACAUAAAGAUAGCCUAUGCACGCACCAGUCAUUGAGCUGUUGGAGAACAACUGGUUAUGAGUCUCUUAUAUGUGUGGGGGGUUUAGUCAGGGGGGUAAAUGUAAGCAUCAUAGAUAUUUGAGAUAGAAGACUUUUAACCUGGAUAUACACCUGUCACUGCAGAAUGAAUGUAUACAAGGGGAUUCCUACCUUGGCCCUAACACCUCACUGUAGAUAUACAACCUGAAGCUUUUCCAGCAAUAAAAUAGUAUAUGAUUGAGCCAACAAUGUUAAUAGACACUAUUGCCAAUCAUGCUCAUUAAUUAGUGUAUCGCUAACUAAAGGCUGUGUUAAUGAGAGGUUUCACAAAAAGAAAUGCAAGUGAAGGUUCUUAAAUGUAAUGUAGCAUUAAAAGCAUACCUAUUGAUCGUUUAUGAAGUUGGUAUUCUUGUGAGGGACAGAUUCAGAAAAUAAGGGUGAAAGUUGAAGCAGCUGAGGCCAAGACAGUCUGACCUUUAGCCCCUAGCAUGGGUCAAGCUCCAACAAUGCUGGACCCUACCAUUCCCAUAAAGCAACUUUACAAUGUUAGUCAUUAGACCCUUGCUGCCUGGUGAACACUCACAUCUUUCAAACUCCAUGUUUGCAACGUAGGCUCAGUUAACAGCAUUCUCAAACUAUUUGGUGUAAUGCAAGUGUAGCAAGUGUAAUGAAGAUUCAUUCUGUUAAGAUUAAAUUAGUUGGUUAAGACAUCACAGAAAGCCUGAUGGUCCAACCAAAAACUGUCCUAGGUUGUUGUCUCACAGUGUGUCUAGAAGCUGCAAAAGCUCAUUAUUUCACAUCAAAAAAGCAAACAAGUACAACAUUUGCAAAAACGUUUAUUGACAUUGAAAGGUUGAACAAUCUUCAAUCCUCUGGUGCCCGGCACAAAUGAUCUUUGUUGGUAGGUAGUUAGUGUCUCGCAUGUCUUGUUUGAUACUCAAAAGUAUGGGGAAAAAAUGCUUCAACGGUUCAUGGGAAGUGGGUACAGCCCUGCAUCACAAUAGGAUCAAACCUGCUCCCUCUUAAGGCAUGCAGCCUGAGAAACCAAACUAAAUAAGUCAUGAUAGAGACCGGUAGGGCAGUAGAAGAAGAAGAAGAAAAAGAAGAAGAAGUGAUGGCUGCGCAGUUCUAGAAAGACAAAUAGAAACCUUGAUUAUUCCACUGCAGUGUAGUGGGGACAGAGCAAUAAUGGUAUAAGUUAUUCUUUAGGGUUUUGGUGGUGUUGUUGGUUGUUGUGUGCGUACGACUGUGUCUAAGAAUGAUUGUGUUUGUCUAUAUAAAUUACUUGUCUGUAAAAAAAAAAAAAAGGAAGCAUGCUGUGCAAACUGAGCUAAGCCACACCCCUGUGAGAAGCUGAGCUAACCAAUAGUGCAACUUUACUUGAAACCCAAACGACAACCAAACAUAUCAGGACAAGAUGCAGAGGAGUGGCUCGCCCACUGUCACACCCACCAUCUACCUUUAAUGCUGAUUGGAGUUUUAAAGGCCUAUAAGUAUUUGAAGAAGCCGCGAGCAAUCUGAUGGUGGGUGGUGAAUCAAACAUGGCAGAAAUGGUUGCUGCACAGCUCUCUGUGGGUUGUUGUACGUCUAGCCACAUCCCAAAUCAGUGAUGUCACAGAGGGGGUUCCCUGGUGUGCAUCAGUGAUUGGAGUGUGGUCAGCAGUGUUUGAAAGCAUGCAGCUGUUUACUGCUCUGUGGAUUUACCAUCUAAACUUGAAUGAACACAGCUAAACUCAAGUUAAGACUAAAUAUAAUAUCUAGCAAGCAAGCUAGUUUAUCCAGACAGUGUAGGCCAGUGAAGCUAAACCAAAACUAGCUAACCUUGGCCUUAGAUUACUAUUCACUUAAGGUCCGCUGACCUUCAGCGGCAUCUUAUGGUCGUCGUAAAAGGGAAUAAGUGGACACUUACAUUUGUCUUGGCUAGCUAAUGUUGCCCUCGCUCUACUACGCAACAAUUUGGAUGAAUUACAGAAAUAACAUCUCAAGAUCCUCAAGUAGACCUUAAUUUAAAUUAACCAAGGCUAUCUAGUUUCUGCCAAGCUCUACUUGUCUUGAUGACGAUGAUGUUGUUAGCUAGCCUGAAAUUCUAAAUCUAGCUAGCUAGUCAAGAAUAUUUUGUAAAAAUACUAUUUCAAGCUGAAGAAUGAACUUUCAUGAUCAACGUAGAUAAUGGUGUGUUUCAGUUUAUAGCUGGAAAGUUAGGCUCUAAAACUCCAGUCUGUGUUUCAUGCAGCGACCUCUCCUCCUCUCCAUCCCAUGCUCCUCACCUCACCUCUCUCUGUCUCUCUCUCUGUCCUUUCCUCCUCCUCCUUCCCUCCUCUUCCUUCAGUUAUUUUGAGGAAGAAGCUUCUUUUUGCAUCCCUUGUUCUUGUGUUUUUCUAACCUAUUUUUUGAAAAUGAAUUCUAAAUGCAUGCAUGGGAAACUUUAAAAUGAUGACUUUAACUUCUUUGCGAAUGGCCAUGUGAAGGGAAGCCUCUCCUCCAUGGAAAAAAAAAAGUCCUCGUCUUUCCCUCUUCCUUUCUCUGUCAGGUCACAAUAUACAGUGUAGAACCCACAAAAUGAACAUCCUUAAACAUCCUUGAUUAUUUCUUUAUCAAUAAUUCACUUUUUUAAAUUCCUGCUUCUUUUCGUGCAGGCAUAGACACUUCACUGGUAUAGCCACUUUUGACAGAGCAGCAGACUGUGAUGGGGUCACUUUCUGCAGGCAAACAGGCUCAGUUUCAUGAGUCCAGUCAUGGUUUUCCAGAAGCUUUCAGCACCAGUGUUGAGGUUUUGGUGCUUCCUUGGAAAAUUCUAAAUCAAUUCUUAAUUUGUCUGUGCCACCAUUUCAGAACAUAUCCUUAUCAUAUGUGUGUGUCAUCUUUCUCUUUACUUUUAAAACUGCUUUUACAACUUUUUAACGAAUCAUGAAUACUGAGGUCAUGGAAAACUUCCAUUUCCAUUGUAAGACUUCCCAUAACCUGCCUGUCUGCUCAGCUUAAUUCAAUCUGUUGUAUCAUUCAUUUAACAGAACAAUACAUCAUGCUGUAAGUCCAGAAGCAGCUAUUUGGCAAAACUUAGAUAGACAAUCGGGGUCCAUAGCACUGUCGACCGAUUUAUUUAUUUAUUAGUCAGUUAAUCAAUUGAUUGGUUGAUAGUCGAGUUGGUCUGUGUCCGCUGGAAAGAUGCAGAGAAAAAAAGGAUGACAGAGACAGAGAGGAGAGAGGCUUCCCUCCAAUAAUAAAUGGGGUUUAUGCUAUAAAGACUGAUGUUGGAUAUAAUUUUAUUGUCACUACACUGGAGAGA